RNAcentral lists this ribosomal RNA (253 nucleotides) under uncultured bacterium. RNAcentral's name for it is "partial 16S ribosomal RNA". It matches the Rfam family "Bacterial small subunit ribosomal RNA", at positions 524 to 776 of the family's 1533-position model. The record is from RNAcentral.
GACAGAGGGUGCAAACGUUGUUCGGAAUUACUGGGCGUAAAGCGCGUGUAGGCGGCCCUGAAAGUCGGAUGUGAAAUCCCACGGCUCAACCGUGGAAGUGCAUUCGAAACUGCAGGGCUAGAGUCCUGGAGAGGAAGGUGGAAUGCUUGGUGUAGAGGUGAAAUUCGUAGAUAUCAAGCGGAACACCGGUGGCGAAGGCGGCCUUCUGGACAGUGACUGACGCUGAGACGCGAAAGCGUGGGGAGCAAACAGG